RNAcentral lists this ribosomal RNA (468 nucleotides) under uncultured bacterium. RNAcentral describes it as "partial 16S ribosomal RNA". It matches the Rfam family "Bacterial small subunit ribosomal RNA", at positions 28 to 507 of the family's 1533-position model. The record is from RNAcentral.
GACGAACGCUGGCGGCGUGCUUAACGCAUGCAAGUCGAACGGUGAAGCUCCAGCUUGCUGGAGUGGAUCAGUGGCGAACGGGUGAGUAACACGUGAGCAACCUGCCCCUGACUCUGGAAUAAGCGCUGGAAACGGCGUCUAAUACUGGAUACGAGAAGGGUCCGCAUGGGCACUUUCUGGAAAGUUUUUCGGUUGGGGAUGGGCUCGCGGCCUAUCAGCUUGUUGGUGAGGUAAUGGCUCACCAAGGCGACGACGGGUAGCCGGCCUGAGAGGGCGACCGGCCACACUGGGACUGAGACACGGCCCAGACUCCUACGGGAGGCAGCAGUGGGGAAUAUUGCACAAUGGGCGAAAGCCUGAUGCAGCGACGCCGCGUGAGGGAUGACGGCCUUCGGGUUGUAAACCUCUUUCAGCAGGGAAGAAGCGAAAGUGACGGUACCUGCAGAAGAAGCACCGGCUAACUACGUG